Molecule: transfer RNA, 30 nt
Filed under: Homalia lusitanica
Lineage: Eukaryota; Viridiplantae; Streptophyta; Bryopsida; Hypnales; Neckeraceae
Description: partial tRNA-Phe
Source: RNAcentral
CGGAAUAGCUCAGUUGGUAGAGCAGAGGAC